GUUGCUGGGGGCGCAUCAGGCUGAGAGUGCAUCUGCACGACCCCUAUUACUUGAUCCGGAUAAUACCGGCGUAAGGAGGCAUCUAUA
This 87-nucleotide non-coding RNA is filed under the name bovine gut metagenome. Its description in RNAcentral is "TPP riboswitch (THI element)". It matches the Rfam family "TPP riboswitch aptamer (THI element)", at positions 7 to 92 of the family's 105-position model. From Rfam's summary of the family: Vitamin B(1) in its active form thiamin pyrophosphate (TPP) is an essential coenzyme that is synthesised by coupling of pyrimidine and thiazole moieties in bacteria. The previously detected thiamin-regulatory element, thi box was extended, resulting in a new, highly conserved RNA secondary structure, the THI element, which is widely distributed in eubacteria and also occurs in some archaea. The record is from RNAcentral.